This 484-nucleotide ribosomal RNA is filed under the name uncultured bacterium. RNAcentral describes it as "partial 16S ribosomal RNA". It matches the Rfam family "Bacterial small subunit ribosomal RNA", at positions 28 to 523 of the family's 1533-position model. The record is from RNAcentral.
GACGGACGCUGGCGGCGUGCUUAACACAUGCAAGUCGAACGAUGAACCCGGAGCUUGCUCCGGCGGAUUAGUGGCGAACGGGUGAGUAACACGUGAGUAACCUGCCCUUGACUCUGGGAUAACUGCUAGAAAUGGUAGCUAAUACCGGAUACGACCCUCGGUGGCAUCACCAGGGGGUGGAAAGAAUUUCGGUCAAGGAUGGACUCGCGGCCUAUCAGCUAGUUGGUGAGGUAACGGCUCACCAAGGCGACGACGGGUAGCCGGCCUGAGAGGGUGACCGGCCACACUGGGACUGAGACACGGCCCAGACUCCUACGGGAGGCAGCAGUGGGGAAUAUUGCACAAUGGGCCCAAGCCUGAUGCAGCAACGCCGCGUGAGGGAUGACGGCCUUCGGGUUGUAAACCUCUUUUAGUAGGGAAGAAGCGAAAGUGACGGUACCUGCAGAAAAAGCACCGGCUAACUACGUGCCAGCCGCCGCGGUAA